GACGAACGCUGGCGGCGUGCUUAACACAUGCAAGUCGAACGGAAAGGCCUCUUUCGGGGGGUACUCGAGUGGCGAACGGGUGAGUAACACGUGAGUAACCUGCCCUUGACUUUGGGAUAACUUCAGGAAACUGGGGCUAAUACCGGAUAGGAGCUCCUGCUGCAUGGUGGGGGUUGGAAAGUUUCGGCGGUUGGGGAUGGACUCGCGGCUUAUCAGCUUGUUGGUGGGGUAGUGGCUUACCAAGGCUUUGACGGGUAGCCGGCCUGAGAGGGUGACCGGCCACAUUGGGACUGAGAUACGGGCCAGACUCCUACGGGAGGCAGCAGUGGGGAAUAUUGCACAAUGGGUGGAAGCCUGAUGCAGCAACGCCGUGUGCGGGAUGACGGCCUUCGGGUUGUAAACCGCUUUCGCUCAUGACGAAGCUUUGUGUGACGGUAGUGGGUAAAGAAGCACCGGCUAACUACGUG
RNAcentral lists this ribosomal RNA (467 nucleotides) under uncultured bacterium. Its description in RNAcentral is "partial 16S ribosomal RNA". It matches the Rfam family "Bacterial small subunit ribosomal RNA", at positions 28 to 507 of the family's 1533-position model. The record is from RNAcentral.